RNAcentral lists this non-coding RNA (224 nucleotides) under Bacteroidota bacterium. The record is from RNAcentral. Lineage: Bacteria; Pseudomonadati; Bacteroidota.
GUAAUUUUGUGCCCGAAUGGUAGUAUUUGCUUGCCUUGUACAGGCAAAACUUUAAAAUGGGAAUCAGGUUAAAAUCCUGAGCUAUACCCGUAGCCGUAAGUUCCUUCUAUGUUUUUCGAAAUCUCUGACCACUGGAGAAAGCAGUCUGAUACGUAUUGCGAAUAUCUGGGAAGGUCUCGAAAAACGGAACAAGCCGGAAGACCUGCCAUAAACAACAUUAAUUG